AUGUGGAGGUCCAUCUUGCUCGCGGCGGUGGUCGCGCUGGCGCUGGCGCCGGCGCCGGCGCUGGGGAUCCCGUUCAGGGAGGAAGACCUGGCCUCGGAGGAGAGCCUGCGGGGGCUCUACGAGAGGUGGAGGAGCCACUACACGGUGUCGCGGGGGGGCCUCGGCGCCGACGCGGAGGAGCGCCGGUUCAACGUGUUCAAGGAGAACGCGCGGUACGUCCACGAGGGCAACAAGAAGGACAGGCCCUUCAGGCUGGCGCUCAACAAGUUCGCCGACAUGACCACGGACGAGUUCCGGCGUACGUACGCCGGGUCCAGGGUGCGGCACCACCUCUCCCUCAGCGGCGGCCGCCGGGGCGACGGCAGCUUCAGGUACGAAGACGCCAACAACCUGCCGCCGGCGGUGGACUGGCGGCAGAAGGGCGCCGUCACCGGCAUCAAGGACCAAGGGCAGUGCGGGAGCUGCUGGGCGUUCUCGACGAUCGUGGCGGUGGAGGGCAUCAACAAGAUCAGGACGGGGAAGCUGGUGUCGCUGUCGGAGCAGGAGCUCAUGGACUGCGACAACGUCAACAACCAGGGCUGCGACGGCGGCCUCAUGGACUACGCCUUCCAGUUCAUCCACAAGAACGGGAUCACCACCGAGUCCAACUACCCGUACCAAGGCGAGCAGGGCAGCUGCGACCAGGCAAAGGAAAAGGCUCAUGCCGUGACGAUCGACGGCUACGAGGACGUCCCCGCCAACGACGAGUCCGCUCUACAGAAAGCCGUCGCCGGCCAGCCCGUGUCCGUGGCAAUAGACGCCAGCGGCAACGACUUCCAGUUCUACUCAGAGGGCGUCUUCACCGGAGAAUGCAGCACGGAUCUCGACCACGGCGUCGCCGCCGUCGGGUACGGCACUACCAGGGAUGGCACCAAAUACUGGAUCGUCAAGAACUCGUGGGGAGAGGACUGGGGUGAGAAAGGCUACAUCAGGAUGCAGCGCGGGGUGUCGCAGGCAGAGGGGCAGUGUGGCAUCGCCAUGCAGGCGUCCUACCCAACGAAGUCGGCACCACAUGCUAGCACAGUCAGGGACGGGUCUCAUACGGAUGAGCUCUAG
This 1095-nucleotide ribosomal RNA is filed under the name Triticum aestivum (bread wheat). RNAcentral describes it as "partial small subunit ribosomal RNA". Lineage: Eukaryota; Viridiplantae; Streptophyta; Magnoliopsida; Poales; Poaceae. The record is from RNAcentral.